UACCAGCUCCCCGAGUGGUCGGGACGAUUAUUGGGCCUAAAGCAUCCGUAGCCGGUCAUGCAAGUCCUCCGUUAAAUCCACCUGCUUAACAGAUGGGCUGCGGAGGAUACUACAAGGCUAGGAGGCGGAAGAGGCAAGCGGUACUCAGUGGGUAGGGGUAAAAUCCUCUGAUCCAUUGAAGACCACCAGUGGCGAAGGCGGCUUGCCAAUACGCGCUCGACGGUGAGGGAUGAAAGCUGGGGGAGCAAACCGG
This 253-nucleotide ribosomal RNA is filed under the name uncultured bacterium. RNAcentral's name for it is "partial 16S ribosomal RNA". It matches the Rfam family "Archaeal small subunit ribosomal RNA", at positions 474 to 727 of the family's 1478-position model. The record is from RNAcentral.